GGACUUUUCACAAAUGCCGACUUCUGGUUUGUGCCUUUCCCAUAUUUUAUUAAAUUCGUGUUUUAUUUUAAAAAAUUACAGCAACAUUAUCAAAGACAACAUAUGUACAAACAUUUUACAAAAAAGAACAUUACCAAUAUCAGUGGCAGUAAGGGCAAGCUGAAGAAUAAAUAGACUGAGUUUCCGGGCAAUGUCUGUCCUCAAAGACAUCCAAACUGCGUUCAGGCAGCUGAAACAGGCUUCUUUCCCAGUGACAAGCAUAUGUGGUCAGUAAUACAAACGAUGGUAAAUGAGGCUACUACAUAGGCCCAGUUAACAAACUCCUCUUCUCCUCGGGUAGGCCAUGAUACAAGUGGAACUCAUCAAAUAAUUUAAACCCAAGGCGAUAACAACGCUAUUUCCCAUCUAAACUCAUUUAAGCCUUCACAAUGUCGCAAUGGAUUCAGUUACUUGCAAACGAUCCCGGGUUGUCAUACAGAUACUUGUUUUUUACACAUAACGCUAUGCCAUCCCUUCCUUCACUGCCCCAGUCAGGUUUCCUGUUGUUGGACCGAAAGGGGAUACAUUUUAGAAAUGCUUCCUUCAAGACAGAAGUGAGAAAGAAAGGAGACCCUGAGGCCAGGAUCUAUUAAACCUGGUGUGUGCGCAAAAGGGAGGGGGAAGGCAGGAAUUUGAAAGGAUAAACGUCUCCUUUGCGCCGAGGAAUCAGGAAGCGUGACUCACUUGGGUCUGGGACGAUACCGAAAUCCGGUACCCCACCCCAUCCCCUGCCCCGCCGGGUACCUACAAGCUCGGUUCCUUUCUCAACUCCCCCAGUUCCUUGAUCUCCACCUUCUUGUACUUCCCCGACUUUCUCCGGUUGGUGAUCACCAGGACGGCCAUGCCGGCGACGAGGGCCACCACGACCACCACGAUGACGGCGAUGAGGCCGGCGGUGAGGCGCUUCAUGGAGAACUUCGGGGGAAUCUCGUCCAGGGCUCCUCAGGCUCAAGCACAACCUGGAAAAACGAAGGUGUUAAUGUUCCAUGAGGCAACUGAUGACCAAUGGGG
RNAcentral lists this long non-coding RNA (1050 nucleotides) under Homo sapiens (human). Its description in RNAcentral is "PREDICTED lncRNA (TCONS_00004543)". The record is from RNAcentral. Lineage: Eukaryota; Metazoa; Chordata; Mammalia; Primates; Hominidae.